This 1161-nucleotide ribosomal RNA is filed under the name Leptolyngbya sp. SEV4-3-DK2. RNAcentral's name for it is "bacterial SSU rRNA". It matches the Rfam family "Bacterial small subunit ribosomal RNA", at positions 356 to 1531 of the family's 1533-position model. Lineage: Bacteria; Bacillati; Cyanobacteriota; Cyanophyceae; Leptolyngbyales; Leptolyngbyaceae. RNAcentral also lists the same sequence under 1 other name. The record is from RNAcentral.
GGGGAAUUUUCCGCAAUGGGCGAAAGCCUGACGGAGCAAUACCGCGUGUGGGAGGACGCCUUUUGGGGUGUAAACCACUUUUAUCAGGGAAGAAUUGAUGACGGUACCUGAUGAAUCAGCAUCGGCUAACUCCGUGCCAGCAGCCGCGGUAAUACGGAGGAUGCAAGCGUUAUCCGGAAUUAUUGGGCGUAAAGCGUCCGUAGGUGGCUAUAUAAGUCUUUUGUCAAAUCGUGCAGCUUAACUGCAUACGGGCGGAGGAAACUAUAGAGCUAGAGUGCGAUAGGGGUCACAGGAAUUCCCAGUGUAGCGGUGAAAUGCGUAGAUAUUGGGAAGAACACCAGCGGCGAAAGCGUGUGACUGGGUCUGCACUGACACUGAGGGACGAAAGCUAGGGGAGCGAAAGGGAUUAGAUACCCCUGUAGUCCUAGCCGUAAACGAUGACAACUAGGUGUGGUUCGUAUCGACCCGAGCCGUGCCGUAGCCAACGCGUUAAGUUGUCCGCCUGGGGAGUACGCACGCAAGUGUGAAACUCAAAGGAAUUGACGGGGGCCCGCACAAGCGGUGGAGUAUGUGGUUUAAUUCGAUGCAACGCGAAGAACCUUACCAAGGCUUGACAUCCUCGGAACCCUUGUGAAAGCAGGGGGUGCCUUCGGGAACCGAGAGACAGGUGGUGCAUGGCUGUCGUCAGCUCGUGUCGUGAGAUGUUGGGUUAAGUCCCGCAACGAGCGCAACCCACGUUUUUAGUUGCCAGCAUUCAGUUGGGCACUCUAGAGAGACUGCCGGUGACAAACCGGAGGAAGGUGUGGAUGACGUCAAGUCAGCAUGCCCCUUACGCCUUGGGCUACACACGUACUACAAUGCGUUGGACAAAGAGCAGCCAGUCAGCGAUGACGAGCCAAUCUCAUAAACCAACGCUCAGUUCAGAUUGCAGGCUGCAACUCGCCUGCAUGAAGGCGGAAUCGCUAGUAAUCGCAGGUCAGCAUACUGCGGUGAAUACGUUCCCGGGCCUUGUACACACCGCCCGUCACACCAUGGGAGUUGGUCACGCCCGAAGUCGUUACUCUAACCAUUCGUGGAGGAGGAUGCCGAAGGUGGGGCUGAUGACUGGGGUGAAGUCGUAACAAGGUAGCCGUACCGGAAGGUGUGGCUGGAUCACCUCCU